UCCUCUCUGCUUGGGAGGCAGUCAUCCACCCC
Molecule: small RNA, 32 nt
Filed under: Bombyx mori (domestic silkworm)
Lineage: Eukaryota; Metazoa; Arthropoda; Insecta; Lepidoptera; Bombycidae
Description: ovarian small RNA-27876
Source: RNAcentral